UCUUUGAACGCACCUUGCACCCCUUGGUAUUCCGAGGGGUACGCCUGUUUGAGUGUCGUGAAAUCCUCAACCCUCCUCCUCUUUUGUUAGAGGGGCCGAGGGCUUGGA
Molecule: ribosomal RNA, 108 nt
Filed under: Gloeocystidiellum clavuligerum
Lineage: Eukaryota; Fungi; Basidiomycota; Agaricomycetes; Russulales; Gloeocystidiellaceae
Description: partial 5.8S ribosomal RNA
Rfam family: 5.8S ribosomal RNA (bases 1-58)
About the family: 5.8S ribosomal RNA (5.8S rRNA) is a component of the large subunit of the eukaryotic ribosome.
Source: RNAcentral